CAGUCGCCGCGGUAAUACGAAGGGUGCAAGCGUUAAUCGGAAUUACUGGGCGUAAAGCGUGCGUAGGCGGUUUGUUAAGUCUGCUGUGAAAUCCCCGGGCUCAACCUGGGAAUGGCAGUGGAUACUGGCAAGCUAGAGUGUGUCAGAGGAUGGUGGAAUUCCCGGUGUAGCGGUGAAAUGCGUAGAGAUCGGGAGGAACAUCAGUGGCGAAGGCGGCCAUCUGGGACAACACUGACGCUGAGGCACGAAAGCGUGGGGAGCAAACAGGAUUAGAGACCCCCGUAGUCCCUGUCUCUUAUAC
Molecule: ribosomal RNA, 301 nt
Filed under: uncultured bacterium
Lineage: Bacteria
Description: partial 16S ribosomal RNA
Rfam family: Bacterial small subunit ribosomal RNA
Source: RNAcentral